GUACUUAAGGGGAGGCUGCCAGCACUUCAAUGCCAGAGUGUUUGCCUUAGAGAUUUCUAACCUAAGGCUUUGUUUACCUUGCUGAGACUCAACUACGCUCCAGACGUUUCUGGGGAAUUAAGAUUAUUGUCUACUGGAAAUUGGAUCUACGUUUUUCGGACACGGACCAAGCUGACGGCUUCCCGCUUCCUCCUACUUCAGGACCAAGGCAUUAGCGUACCCUGUUCCACCCUCCAACACAAGUACCUACACCUGAAUUAUCUCUGGUCCUCACCCAGUCCUCUCAGACAGCACCAGAGAGAACAGCUGAGCAACUUCUACCUCGCAAGCCAAGACCCCGAAUCUCUCUACCCCUGGUGGUUCAAGCAGCAACAAUUUAUUGGCGUUUCCCGUCCUCGUUCGAUUACUUUGCUGACAAUAAAAACACCUUACAUUUUGUUCCUACUUCUGGGCGUUUUUCUGUAUGUGGGUCAAAGCUGUCUCGAAAACAAUGACAAUAAAUCCACUUCAACCGGUUCAAAAUGCCGCUACACACUUUUUAACCGAUGCCAAAAACAAGAAUACGUCACUAAUUUUUUUUAGUAUCAUUACAUUAACUUCCAAUUCGUUUCCAGAUUGAUUUUAAAGUUCUUUUUUUUUUCGUUUUCAUGGUCUCGCCCCUCUGUCCAACUUGAUCCAGCUGUAUGCUCACUGACGCUCACUCAGGUCGGCAGAUCAGUUACGAUUGAUUUUGUCUUUCUUAAUUUAUAGUGUGGAUAGGAGAAAGAGCCCUCUGGGAACAGGAAGCCAUGGAUUUGCUAACAAAACCCUUCCACACAGUGUCUUACAAUUAAAGUGUAAAUCCAAAAAAAUAAAUGCUGCCUCAGGUUUAUUUUUCUAUUUUUUAUUUCUUGAAGU
Girardinichthys multiradiatus is the source of this 897-nucleotide long non-coding RNA. RefSeq lists it as uncharacterized. The transcript has 3 exons. NCBI's taxonomy places the organism in Eukaryota, Metazoa, Chordata, Actinopteri, Cyprinodontiformes, Goodeidae. The record is from RefSeq and is a predicted model, not a curated record.